Molecule: microRNA precursor, 100 nt
Organism: Pan troglodytes (chimpanzee)
Lineage: Eukaryota; Metazoa; Chordata; Mammalia; Primates; Hominidae
Source: Ensembl
UGAGGCAGGAGAAUUGCUUGAACCCAGGAAGUGGAGGUUGCAGUGAGCCAAGAUCAUGCCACUGCACUCCAGCCUGGGUGACAGAGUGAGACUCCAUCUC